UGAGGAAUAUUGGUCAAUGGGCGUAAGCCUGAACCAGCCAAGUAGCGUGAGGGAAGACUGCCCUAUGGGUUGUAAACCUCUUUUGUGCGGGGAUAAAGUGAGGGACGUGUCCCUUAUUGCAGGUACCGCACGAAUAAGGACCGGCUAAUUCCGUGCCAGCAGCCGCGGUAAUACGGAAGGUCCGGGCGUUAUCCGGAUUUAUUGGGUUUAAAGGGAGCGCAGGCCGUCCUUUAAGCGUGCUGUGAAAUGCCGCGGCUCAACCGUGGCACUGCAGCGCGAACUGGAGGACUUGAGUACGCACGAGGUAGGCGGAAUUCGUGGUGUAGCGGUGAAAUGCUUAGAUAUCACGAAGAACUCCGAUUGCGAAGGCAGCUUACCGGAGCGCAACUGACGCUGAGGCUCGAAAGCGCGGGUAUCGAACAGGAUUAGAUACCCUGGUAGUCCGCGCGGUAAAUGAUGGAUGCCCGCCGUUGGGAUUUGGAUUUCAGCGGCCAAGCGAAAGCGUUAAGCAUCCCACCUGGGGAGUACGCCGGCAACGGUGAAACUCAAAGGAAUUGACGGGGGCCCGCACAAGCGGAGGAACAUGUGGUUUAAUUCGAUGAUACGCGAGGAACCUUACCCGGGCUUGAAUUGCAGGAGAACGAUCCAGAGAUGGUGAGGCCCUUCGGGGCUCCUGUGAAGGUGCUGCAUGGUUGUCGUCAGCUCGUGCCGUGAGGUGUCGGCUCAAGUGCCAUAACGAGCGCAACCCCUGUCCAUAGUUGCCAUCAGGUCGUGCUGGGCACUCUGUGGAGACUGCCGCCGUAAGGUGUGAGGAAGGUGGGGAUGACGUCAAAUCAGCACGGCCCUUACGUCCGGGGCUACACACGUGUUACAAUGGGGCAUACAGCGAGUUGGAUGUGCGCAAGUACGUCCGGAUCAAUAAAGUGCCUCUCAGUUCGGACUGGGGUCUGCAACCCGACCCCACGAAGCUGGAUUCGCUAGUAAUCGCGCAUCAGCCAUGGCGCGGUGAAUACGUUCCC
RNAcentral lists this ribosomal RNA (1019 nucleotides) under uncultured bacterium. RNAcentral describes it as "bacterial SSU rRNA". It matches the Rfam family "Bacterial small subunit ribosomal RNA", at positions 355 to 1375 of the family's 1533-position model. The record is from RNAcentral.